RNAcentral lists this ribosomal RNA (721 nucleotides) under uncultured bacterium. RNAcentral describes it as "bacterial SSU rRNA". It matches the Rfam family "Bacterial small subunit ribosomal RNA", at positions 82 to 781 of the family's 1533-position model. The record is from RNAcentral.
GGCCGCGAGUAGAGUGGCAAACGGGUGAGUAACACGUGGGCGACCUGCCCUCGAGUGGGGGAUAACGUCUCGAAAGGGACGCUAAUACCGCAUGAUAUCCCGCCUUUGAAGAGGUGGAGAUCGAAGCCGGGGACCGCAAGGCCUGGCGCUCGAGGAGGGACCCGCGCCCGAUUAGCUAGUUGGUGAGGUAACGGCCCACCAAGGCGAUGAUCGGUAGCCGGCCUGAGAGGGCGGACGGCCACACUGGGACUGAGACACGGCCCAGACUCCUACGGGAGGCAGCAGUGGGGAAUUGUUCGCAAUGGGCGCAAGCCUGACGACGCAACGCCGCGUGGAGAACGAAGAUCUUCGGAUCGUAAACUCCUGUCGAGCGGGACGAACGGUCCCGGACCUAACAGGUCCGGGGAGUGACGGUACCGCGAGAGGAAGCCCCGGCUAACUCCGUGCCAGCAGCCGCGGUAAUACGGGGGGGGCAAGCGUUGUUCGGAAUUACUGGGCGUAAAGGGCUCGUAGGCGGCCCCUUUAGUCGGACGUGAAAUCCCUCGGCUCAACCGGGGAACUGCGUCCGAUACUGGGGGGCUCGAAUCCGGGAGAGGGAUGCGGAAUUCCAGGUGUAGCGGUGAAAUGCGUAGAUAUCUGGAGGAACACCGGUGGCGAAGGCGGCAUCCUGGACCGGUAUUGACGCUGAGUGAGCGAAAGCCAGGGGAGCAAACGGGAUUAG